Molecule: ribosomal RNA, 708 nt
Filed under: uncultured Gammaproteobacteria bacterium
Lineage: Bacteria; Pseudomonadati; Pseudomonadota; Gammaproteobacteria
Description: bacterial SSU rRNA
Rfam family: Bacterial small subunit ribosomal RNA
Source: RNAcentral
ACAAUGCAAGUCGUGCGAGAAUGUAUCUUCGGAUAUGAUUAGAGCGGCGGACGGGUGAGUAACGCGUAGGAAUCUACCUAGUAGAAGGGAUAGCCCGAGGAAACUCGGAUUAAUACCGUAUACCUCCUUCGGGAGAAAGAAGGCCUCUCUUUGAAGCUUUCGCUACUAGAUGAGCCUGCGUAAGAUUAGCUUGUUGGUGAGGUAAAGGCUCACCAAGGCGACGAUCUUUAGCGGGUCUGAGAGGACGAUCCGCCACAUUGGGACUGAGACACGGCCCAGACUCCUACGGGAGGCAGCAGUGGGGAAUAUUGGACAAUGGGCGCAAGCCUGAUCCAGCCAUACCGCGUGUGUGAAGAAGGCCUUAGGGUUGUAAAGCACUUUAAGUUGGGAAGAAAGGUUAUUGGCUAAUACCCAAUAACUGAGACAUUACCAUCAGAAUAAGGACCGGCUAAUUCCGUGCCAGCAGCCGCGGUAAUACGGAAGGUCCAAGCGUUAAUCGGAAUUACUGGGCGUAAAGCGCGCGUAGGUGGUUUAUUAAGUUGGAUGUGAAAUCCCCGGGCUCAACCUGGGAACUGCAUUCAAAACUGGUUCACUAGAGUACGAUAGAGGGAGGUAGAAUUCACAGUGUAGCGGUGGAAUGCGUAGAUAUUGUGAAGAAUACCAAUGGCGAAGGCAGCCUCCUGGAUCUGUACUGACACUGAGGUGCGA